UAGGGAAAGUUUUUCGGUGUAGGAUGAGACUAUAUAGUAUCAGCUAGUUGGUAAGGUAAUGGCUUACCAAGGCUAUGACGCUUAACUGGUCUGAGAGGAUGAUCAGUCACACUGGAACUGAGACACGGUCCAGACUCCUACGGGAGGCAGCAGUAGGGAAUAUUGCGCAAUGGGGGAAACCCUGACGCAGCAACGCCGCGUGGAGGAUGACACUUUUCGGAGCGUAAACUCCUUUUCUUAGGGAAGAAUUCUGACGGUACCUAAGGAAUAAGCACCGGCUAACUCCGUGCCAGCAGCCGCGGUAAUACGGAGGGUGCAAGCGUUACUCGGAAUCACUGGGCGUAAAGGGCGCGUAGGCGGAUUAUCAAGUCUCUUGUGAAAUCUAAUGGCUUAACCAUUAAACUGCUUGGGAAACUGAUAGUCUAGAGUGAGGGAGAGGCAGAUGGAAUUGGUGGUGUAGGGGUAAAAUCCGUAGAUAUCACCAAGAAUACCCAUUGCGAAGGCGAUCUGCUGGAACUCAACUGACGCUAAGGCGCGAAAGCGUGGGGAGCAAACAGGAUUAGAUACCCUGGUAGUCCACGCCCUAAACGAUGUACACUAGUUGUUGGGGUGCUAGUCAUCUCAGUAAUGCAGCUAACGCAUUAAGUGUACCGCCUGGGGAGUACGGUCGCAAGAUUAAAACUCAAAGGAAUAGACGGGGACCCGCACAAGCGGUGGAGCAUGUGGUUUAAUUCGAAGAUACGCGAAGAACCUUACCUGGGCUUGAUAUCCUAAGAACCUCUUAGAGAUAAGAGGGUGCUAGCUUGCUAGAACUUAGAGACAGGUGCUGCACGGCUGUCGUCAGCUCGUGUCGUGAGAUGUUGGGUUAAGUCCCGCAACGAGCGCAACCCACGUAUUUAGUUGCUAACGGUUCGGCCGAGCACUCUAAAUAGACUGCCUUCGUAAGGAGGAGGAAGGUGUGGACGACGUCAAGUCAUCAUGGCCCUUAUGCCCAGGGCGACACACGUGCUACAAUGGCAUAUACAAUGAGACGCAAUACCGCGAGGUGGAGCAAAUCUAUAAAAUAUGUCCCAGUUCGGAUUGUUCUCUGCAACUCGAGAGCAUGAAGCCGGAAUCGCUAGUAAUCGUAGAUCAGCCAUGCUACGGUGAAUACGUUCCCGGGUCUUGUACUCACCGCCCGUCACACCAUGGGAGUUGAUUUCACUCGAAGCCGGAAUACUAAACUAGUUACCGUCCACAGUGGAAUCAGCGACUGGGGUGAAGUCGUAACAAGGUAACCGUAGGAGAACCUGCGGUUGGA
This 1300-nucleotide ribosomal RNA is filed under the name Campylobacter coli. RNAcentral describes it as "bacterial SSU rRNA". It matches the Rfam family "Bacterial small subunit ribosomal RNA", at positions 202 to 1522 of the family's 1533-position model. The record is from RNAcentral. Lineage: Bacteria; Pseudomonadati; Campylobacterota; Epsilonproteobacteria; Campylobacterales; Campylobacteraceae.